ACGAACGCUGGCGGCAUGCCUAACACAUGCAAGUCGAACGAGACCUUCGGGUCUAGUGGCGCACGGGUGCGUAACGCGUGGGAACCUGCCCUUAGGUUCGGAAUAACUCCCCGAAAGGGGUGCUAAUACCGGAUAAUGUCUUCGGACCAAAGAUUUAUCGCCUUUGGAUGGGCCCGCGUUGGAUUAGCUAGUUGGUAGGGUAAAAGCCUACCAAGGCGACGAUCCAUAGCUGGUCUGAGAGGAUGAUCAGCCACACUGGGACUGAGACACGGCCCAGACUCCUACGGGAGGCAGCAGUGGGGAAUAUUGGACAAUGGGCGAAAGCCUGAUCCAGCAAUGCCGCAUGAGUGAUGAAGGCCUUAGGGUUGUAAAGCUCUUUUACCCGGGAUGAUAAUGACAGUACCGGGAGAAUAAGCUCCGGCUAACUCCGUG
RNAcentral lists this ribosomal RNA (432 nucleotides) under uncultured bacterium. RNAcentral's name for it is "partial 16S ribosomal RNA". It matches the Rfam family "Bacterial small subunit ribosomal RNA", at positions 29 to 507 of the family's 1533-position model. The record is from RNAcentral.